AACCUUGUUUAAGUGACAGCGAGGAAGACCACUAUGUACUCUGUUUGCAGAAGAAGGAUUAAGCUUAUUGGCAAGCCACCAGAGCACGAUAUUCAUAGUCCCUUAUAAUAGCUGAUUCAUCAGCACUCAUUUUUGGUAUCAAUAUUAUCACACGAAUCUAAAAGUCUUAAUGAAGCCAGAACGCUGUCAACCUUAUGAACAUCUACAGUAGGACACGAAGCUGCAGCGAGAUUGCUUGGACCUAUUGAGCAUAUCAUGUCAAGGUUCUCAUUGGCACCUUGACUUUCCAGGAUCUUUUCAACAUCUGAAAUGCAGUGACUGGUAUGUGUUUCAUUUAAUGCAAGCAUUCCAGUAUGGUUGCUUGACUGUCCAAGGAGAACUACAAGGCUGGCCUCAUAUUAAGGACAACAAACCACAUUUGCAAGAUAUGGUGCUAGGGAAGACCAGCAAUCCGUUGCUAUCACACUUGAUAUACUUUCAGCUGAAAAAAAGUUCAACAUACAACAUCC
Coffea arabica (coffee) is the source of this 509-nucleotide non-coding RNA. The record is from RefSeq and is a predicted model, not a curated record. Lineage: Eukaryota; Viridiplantae; Streptophyta; Magnoliopsida; Gentianales; Rubiaceae.